RNAcentral lists this ribosomal RNA (1272 nucleotides) under Triticum aestivum (bread wheat). Its description in RNAcentral is "partial small subunit ribosomal RNA". Lineage: Eukaryota; Viridiplantae; Streptophyta; Magnoliopsida; Poales; Poaceae. The record is from RNAcentral.
AUGCCGCCGAAGCCGCACGCCGCCGGCGGUGGCGCCUACGAGUACUGCGAGCUGUGCCGCCGCAACCACGACCAGGGCCGGCGCCACCGCUACUUCCCCGCCCACCGCGCCGCCCUCGCCGCCGCGCUCUCCGGCUUCCGCGCCAAGCUCGCCGACCUCCGCCGCGCGCUCCUCCGCCCCUCCACGCCUGGCCCCCGCUCCCGCCUCUGGUGCCCCUUCUGCUCCGCCGACCUCGUCGACCUCGACAGCCGCUUCGCCUGCAGCAAUGCGAUUUACCACCUCGCGAGCGAGGAGCACCUGAAGGGCGUCAAGGAUUUCCUGCGGAAGCAUGGGGGCGGGAUGGAUCAGGUCGAUUUGUUUAGGAUCUCAGAGGAUGAGCUUGCAAAGUGGGAGAAGGGCUGUGAGUCUUCCGGUACUGAAGCACAGGCAUUGGCCGAUGGCAUGAUUGGACCAUCUCUGGGGCCGUUGAAAGAUAUCCAAAAUGAAUCUACCUCUAAAAUUUCGGAUAGUUUUGCUGAAACUGACAUCCCAUCUUUUCAUAAUACUGCAUCUUGUGUUGUUAUGCCUUUACAAAGUCCUACCAAUGGGGCCUAUUACCCCACUAGUACAGCGUGUUACGGAUCUUCCACCUCUGGAAGUGUUGCUUAUUCUGCUCCAUUUGGUACUUCCGGACUGCCUGUCAAACCCUGUGUCACAACACAUGGACAUCAGGGGAUGCCGAGCACAAACAUGUUUCAUAGUGCUGAUGCACAAAUGAAAGGUGCUCAAUCUACUUCCCUCGGAAAUGGACCAAAUCCACCGGCUUCUUCUUUUGUAUAUGUCCAACAGGGCCACUCUGGAGGGAAAUUCAAUCAGGGCCUGAAAGCAAAUGUGCAUACUGGUGCUCCUCCUCCAUGGUUAGAAGCUAGUGAGCAUGAUCCAAAGAAUGUGUCACUCGCCAGCUAUGCUCUUCCAUCUUCUCUGAAAGGAAAAUCAAGAAAACUUAACCCAAAGCGUGUUGGAGCUGCAUGGGCAGAGAGAAGAAGAGCUGAAAUGGAAAUGGAAAAGCGAGGUGAAGCCGUUCCAGAAACGCCUGAUGCUAGUUGGCUCCCUAAUUUUGGUGGUGUCUGGCAAUCUGGUUCGCGAAAGGAAUCGAGGAAAGAGUUUGAGAAAAAUCAUAAGCUUAAAGAGGAGAACAAUCCUGAGUUACUCACUGAGAUAAAACCAUAUAUCAGCAAAAGGAUGCGUGUAGGCUCUAAUAAAGAUGGACAACCGGACAGCACUGUAGAAUAG